CCUACGGGUGGCAGCAGUGGGGAAUAUUGCACAAUGGGCGCAAGCCUGAUGCAGCCAUGCCGCGUGUAUGAAGAAGGCCUUCGGGUUGUAAAGUACUUUCAGCGGGGAGGAAGGUGUUGAGGUUAAUAACCUCAGCAAUUGACGUUACCCGCAGAAGAAGCACCGGCUAACUCCGUGCCAGCAGCCGCGGUAAUACGGAGGGUGCAAGCGUUAAUCGGAAUUACUGGGCGUAAAGCGCACGCAGGCGGUCUGUCAAGUCGGAUGUGAAAUCCCCGGGCUCAACCUGGGAACUGCAUUCGAAACUGGCAGGCUAGAGUCUUGUAGAGGGGGGUAGAAUUCCAGGUGUAGCGGUGGAAUGCGUAGAGAUCUGGAGGAAUACCGGCGGCGAAGGCGGCCCCCUGACAAAGACUGACGCUCAGGUGCGAAAGCGUGGGGAGCAAACAGGAUUAGAUACCCGUGUAGUC
RNAcentral lists this ribosomal RNA (464 nucleotides) under uncultured bacterium. RNAcentral's name for it is "bacterial SSU rRNA". It matches the Rfam family "Bacterial small subunit ribosomal RNA", at positions 338 to 795 of the family's 1533-position model. The record is from RNAcentral.